AUCUGCCUUGCCACUCGUGAGACUUGCAUAAAGUCAUUCGAUGCUCCUGUUGUCACAUUUUCCUCUCCGAAAAUUACUUCUUCGGCAAUCCUGCACAAGUAAUGAGAAAGUUUCUGGAAUAAGGUCAUGAGAUUAAGGUUGUGCAUUCACCUCACACCAAUUGUUUAAACAAAGAUAAACUUGUUAAACUGACCUUCCACCAAGCGCGACAGCCAUCUGGUUCUCUAGGUAGCUUCGGCUGUAGAGACCAGAUUCAAGCCUCUCUUCACUUGGAGC
This is a long non-coding RNA of Hibiscus syriacus, 276 nucleotides long. RefSeq lists it as uncharacterized. Lineage: Eukaryota; Viridiplantae; Streptophyta; Magnoliopsida; Malvales; Malvaceae. The transcript is spliced from 2 exons. The record is from RefSeq and is a predicted model, not a curated record.